AUUGUGCAGAGAAACAGACUGGCUACAGUUAGUCAACUGACAGGCCAGUACAACAUUGGUGCCCGAAGACCUAUAAAAGAAUGCACAACUUGACGUACCUUGACACGAAUGGAGUUACAGAGUUACACUUUUUUCAGUAAAAAACAAGAAUCUGCGGUUGCAGUGGGCUAAGGAAAGAAAACACUGGAGAAUUGGAAAAACAUUGCCUGGUCUGAUGAAUCGUGGUACACUCAGUGUAUAGUAGUUAUGCUUUUGCUAACUGCUUUCCUAGUUAUCUGACUUUAACGCAUUCCCAUGAGUGAGAGUGAGAAGGAAUAGAUUACAGUUUUGAACAAAAAUGGAAAUACAGUAUGAGAAAUAAAGUGGUCUUGGAAUCUAGUAAAUACAAACCUAUUUCUGACUCGUUUUAAGUUGGAGUGAAGGUUUUGGACUGAUGGAGUUACCUGGGAGAUCCAUUCGACAUCUCAAUGAAAAUUGCAGAUGCGUUGGAUGAGGUUCCGUCAGAAAUUUCCACGACAUUUGGCGCAGAGGAUGGGAUGUGAAUCUUCACUUGGUGACCAUUCCUGAGGAUCUAGGUAAAUAAAUCGUGCACGAGGGAUCCCUCAAACGUGAGAUCUUAGGGAAACCACACUUCGGGAACAAAGCAGAUGGACCAACCUUUGAUCUGAGAGGAAGCGAGCCGAGUGGAUACCACAUCCCGAACAGAGUUUUUUUAAAGAAAAAGGUAAGCGAACCACACAGAUUGAAGUCAACUUUUUAAAAUAUGCCUCGGUUGCGUAUACUCUGAGUGUGAAUUCCUUUGUAAGGAGGGCACCUCGGAGGUGUGAGGAGGGCCCGAGUCAGAGGAGAGUAAUCUGAGAGUUUGUGGACUCAAAGAUACUCUGCCACUGUCCGGUUGCGAGUGACCAAGAGCUGUCCUGACACUGAAUUGAUCACAGUGGGGAUUGGUGCAGUCUGUGGGGGUGAGGGGCCAGGAGACUGUGUGUUUCUGUGUGAAACAUGGUACUUGGUGAAGCCCUAUUGGAAGAAGGACCUCAUUCUGUGUGUCUGUGUGAUUGUCUAAGUGACCCUCAGAGGUGGUGAAUUCCAAUUAUUAUACAUUUGCUAGCCAGGUAUGCCCUGGGUUACUCUGUGUGAGUUUUGUUAUGGGAUCACUAGGUAAUAUUUGUCGGACCGUUCUGUGUGAGCGGGGUAGGUUGACUCUGUGUGAGUACCUUUCAAGUAUGUUCUGAUGUUCUGUGUGAACGUCUGACCAGUUCUGUGUGAACAUCUGACCAAUCCUGUGUGGGGGAUCCUUAAAGUUCUGUGUGAGUACCUAAGAUUUUCUUACGUUUUACAUGGAUUCAGUGAAUUAUUUUGAAAUUAUGAUAAAUUGUAUGUGUGUAUAAUCAAUUACUGGGUGUUUCAUUGUCUCUCUUUGAAAUGUUUCCUGGGACUAUAAUCUUGGGGAGAGUGAGUGAGAUUGAGGCCAUAAACGACCAAAUUGAAAGGGGCCUGGAAGUUUUUGUUUUUACCUUAAGGUUUGAAAAAUACACACACAUAAAAGAUUUGUUAUGACCAUUUGUUGGUGUUUUUAAAAUACUAUGUUUGAUUUGUUUUUUAUUUUUUCCUUUGGGUUUGGUGAGUUUUCCAUUUGUUUUAGUGGAAAGGUAUCUUAAAGGGGCACACACGCACAUGCAAUUUUAUGGAGUUUCAUGGAGUUGGAGUUUUAAUUAAACACGUUAAUUCUUUUGAUAAAGGAAUGUUCUGGGAACCUGGGAUACAACAUGUAGGAACUAUUUGACUAUUGUUUGCAAUUUGUCUAAUAUAGUAAAACACACUUCUUUGAAGGGGUUUGUAUGACCUAUGACCUCUAUGAUGACCUUCCGUUGUGGCUUGAUCACCCGCAUUGGAAAGCCGUUUGGAUAAUGAAUUUAUGUUCGUUUGUAAUACUGCUUUCAAGAUAAUUUGUGUAAUUGAUAAAUAUGUUUGAGUUUAUAGUUCUUAGCCAUAUUUGUAAUUUGGACCAAUGUGUAAUGUGAGAGGGCAUUGCUUUUAACUGAGGGUAUGCUGCUUUAAGUCUAUUUUCCUAUGACCAUAUGGGUUUAAUACUUUUUCUUUGUGGAGUUUUUUCAGUUUAGUGAUUUUCGUUUGAUUAGUUUAUUUGAAAUAUAUAUAUUUUUUAAAUCCAGUAGUAGUUUUGUUUUUUACAUUACUCUCAUGGAGAUAUAUGUGUAAAACAUGGGGGACGAUUCAGUUUUUUGAGGUUUUGAAUUGAAGUUUAUACACCUUGAGUGAUAUGUGAAGGAGUGUAUUGUAUUGUAUUGUUGUGUUUGUUUUGUUCUAUUCCCAAGGGGUAUAGGUCUAACUUCUUGAUCCUUGGCUCUACGAUGGAGUUGACAGUGAGAUGGGGAGUAUAAGCCAAUUUGAAAGAAUAGUUUCAAUAGAAUGUGUUGAUAUUCUCUUUGAAAUAUGUUUAGAUAUGUGUAUUAAGAAUAAUUGGUAAAAGUAAUACUUUGUCAUGUAGUUAAUGAACUGAACUAAACUGUUGUUCUGAUCUGUUCUUUCGAGGUGAUCAUGAAAAGUGACAUCAGACGGUAUGGAAGAGAUAAUUGGACCGAAUAGCAUGUGUACCUCAAAACCCCCUCUAACUGACUGAAGAAGAGUGACAAAGGCGUUGAAUAAGGCCCUUCCAAACCACUUCUACCGAGAGAAAGGAACCAAGCCAGAAAUCGGUGUACAGUAUCAGAUCUAAGCUGUUAACUGCUUUUCUUUCAUGCUUCUCUCAGUCCACAUGGAGUGAUCAUGGAGAGAGAUCUGUUCUAACCUUUUCUUAUGGUACUGGUAUAUUGGUUGACGAAUGGACAAGACAUGAGUGGUAAAGAUGAGACAUUGAAAUUGGAACAUUGUCAUGGGCCAUCCACUUUGAACUGUAAAGCUAUCUGAAGAAGAACGAAAAGAACGCCAUAAGAAUCAGUGCCUGAGAGGGGGGGUUGGUCAACUGUGCCAAUAAAAUUGUUUUAUACUUUUGUGGUAUCAGGUUGAUUGUAGAGGUCUACACCAUGUAAAAUUAUAGUAAUUUAGAUUAUGAAUGCAUUGAGAUACUGAUCUGUAUUAUAAUCAUGAUUAAAAAAGUUCAUGGUAGAAUUAUGAGAUAAUUAUCCUGAAUGAAUGUGAAAUCUGCUAAUAUUGAUGUGUGUUAAAUUGAGGUUUUUACUUUGAGUGAUAAGACCAAUUUGAAUUACUGAGGAAUGUCAUUCUAAAUUUUGGUUGGAUAAAUAGUUGGGUUGUUAAUUAUGAUUUGGAAUAUGAAUGAUUUUACAUUUGAAGAACUACAUGGAGUACUGUCUGGUGUGGUCCCACCCUCUCAGACCCCAGAGCUUGAGCAGGGUAUUUUAGUUUUUGAAGGAGCGGGAGUGUAUAUAUUUUAUAUUUUGUAGUGUGUGAAUUAAUGUUAAUUUUCCCUUUGCCUCUAUUGUAUUGUGUUCUGGAGAAAAUGGGGGUCAUAUUAGCAGUAACUGCAUAAAGUUAUUGUGAACCAAGGCAAAUAAAAGCAAUUUUUCUCAGUU
This is a long non-coding RNA of Oncorhynchus tshawytscha (Chinook salmon), 3548 nucleotides long. RefSeq lists it as uncharacterized. The transcript has 2 exons. The record is from RefSeq and is a predicted model, not a curated record. Lineage: Eukaryota; Metazoa; Chordata; Actinopteri; Salmoniformes; Salmonidae.